Molecule: long non-coding RNA, 2458 nt
Organism: Sapajus apella (tufted capuchin)
Lineage: Eukaryota; Metazoa; Chordata; Mammalia; Primates; Cebidae
Exons: 2
Source: RefSeq, a predicted model, not a curated record
UCACCAUGUUGACCAGGAUGGUCCCGAUCUCAUGACCUUGUGAGCCACCAUGCCUGGCAAGGCCUUUUAUUUCAACCUCUCGUUUCCUUUUCCUUUGCAUUGGUUGAGGCAUUUUCUUAGCUCUUCAGUUCUGUUCCUGCAUGCCAUCCUUGCCCUCUGAAUUUUAUAUAAGUCUACAAAAACCAAGUAUUUCUACAUAGUUUCUCUUCACGUGUCUUUUCUGCCCCUUCCUUCAGCAGUUUUUAGUCAGACAUUUUUUCUAUGAAGAAACCCCUUGUUUUCCAUAGUCUUUCAGAAUGAACACUGUGACGAACAUUCAUCUCAGAUUGUCUCCAUUGUAAUUUUUAAAAAUUGUAUAUAAAUUGUAAGAUUUAUUUAGACAGUGUAGUGGAAAACAAAACAUUUGCCAGAACGAGUAAAUGUGGAACAAUAUCACUGUCACUAGCUUAAGUAGUGGUUAAGUGAUACUGUUUAGUAAAUCCAUAUGUAAGGAUAAAGUCAGAAUGGUAAAAGCUUGACAUUUCACAGGAAAUGUAUGGAUUAAAGGAAAUUUUAUUUGUUUAAAUAUAGUCACGUUGUAAUUUAGUUAUAAUAAUACUGUUAAACCAAUUUGAAGACAAGGUGUGCUUUAUAUGUUAAUGUUUUUAGGUUAUAUUUUAAUGUGAUGUCACUUUAGCAAUAAAAGAAAACUAUACAUAUAUACAUUAAUUCUCUUGGAUAUGAGUUUUUUUUUUAUCACAAUAAUGCUUCUAUUUCUACCAUUAGUUUUAAAAAUACUUAAAAUUGCCCCUUGAAAAUCUAUAUUUAGAAAAACGUGAAUCCAGGACAUAGUCAUAUUAAUUAGUAUAUUUGAAUAUAAUAUUCACCAGUGAGAAUGAUCUCAAGGGUAAUUCAAGAAAACAUUAUGAAGUCUUCUUGUAUUUCUAGGAAAUUUCCUGUUUUGUUCUGCCUUUAAAGGUGAACUUGUUUCUCUUUUUUUGCCAUUAUUACAUAUACUUUGAUUACUUGCCUUAUGAUAUGCUUGCUUAACUCACUGUGAAAACCUCGAUGCUCCAUUACUUGACUUGAGGUUUGGUAUCCUCAUCUUUAGUGAUAUUGAAACUACAGAAACACUGUAGUGUGGUCUUCAGAGUUUCAACGGUGUCAUAGCACUUAAGGCUACUUUUUGUCCUCCUUUUUUGCUUCCCUAUUCCUUGCAAAUCUUUGCCUUGGCUACAUGUGAGUUCAGGUAGUAUGUUUCCACAGUUUCCAGAUUCCAACUGUAAGGAACUAGAGACAAGAUGAUGUCCAAAAAUCAUCCCUAUGCCAUGUAUGGGCCUUCUAGGAAUAGUACCAUAAAAAUCUGUCUUUAUUAUUAAUAGGUCCUUUCUGACAAAUCAACACUUAAACAUUAUUUUAACACAAUUUUAUGAUGAUGAUUAUCUGCUACAGUUUUAUGUAUUUUAAUCAUUAACUUAUUGAUUGUGCCUUGAGGCCUCUUACAUAAAGAAUGCAAUUUGAAUAAUGCCGUGGUAAGCCGUUUAAUCUCUGUUUACAACUGUAUUAGGUUUCAUUCCAAACAGUAACGAUGACUCCUUUCUAUGGAUAACUUGGCACAUAUUGUUUACAUUUAUAUGUUGUUUUAAAAGGUAUAUUUUGUUAGAUUUUCACAUUCAAGAUCAUAAAACUUUAUGUGUUUUUUUAAAAGAUAAUUUUAAUCUACCUAUAGUAUGUACAAAUGUAUUACCUUAAAGGAAGAAAUUACACUGUCUGAUAGGGGAGAGAACUCUGAAUAAUCAAGGGGCAACUGGUUGGAAUUUAUUUUAGUACACUAGGAAUGAACCAGAUUUAGGUUAAGAGCUGUAGAAUCCUUUCUGUUUAUCACAGAAGGCCCAGCCCUGUGUUAAUCCUUUCCUGAGCACCCUAGCCAGCAGUGACUUCCCCCCACCACCUCUUUCAGCCUUAAUUAAAUUUUAAGUGUCUGAAUAGCAGGGAUUCGAUCUCUAAGUUGUUACUUUCUCCCGAUCCACCUCUUGCAUAGGAAAGAAUGCUCUGCAACUAGCCUUUUCUUAAUACGUAUUUGUUGGCUGAAAAUGGACCUAAGUAGGUUAAGCCAUUAGUUUUUUCUUUUAAAAAUUACAGGAUAUGCUACUUCAUGAUUUGUUCCUUCAUAUUUAAAUCUUCCUGUUGUAGUAAAGACAGACUUUUCAUUUAAAAAGUGGAAUUGCUAACGAAUAUGUUUUCAUUCUUUCAGGGAACCCUCUAGCCAUAUCAUUUGCUUUUCUGACUGUUGAUUAUAGAUUGGCUUAUCCUUAGAGACAACAGACUCUGAGUACCAUAGUAAAUGCCUUGUAUUAUUUUCUCUUUACAAAGAUAAACCAAAGUUUUAAAAGAGCAUAGCAUGUUUUCUGCAUUAUUUUUAGGGAAAGAAUGUGUAUCAAAAGGGGAUAUAUUUUCUUGAUAGAGGCAGAUGGACUAA